Molecule: ribosomal RNA, 239 nt
Filed under: uncultured bacterium
Lineage: Bacteria
Description: partial 16S ribosomal RNA
Rfam family: Bacterial small subunit ribosomal RNA
Source: RNAcentral
CAGGCCUAACACAUGCAAGUCGAACGGGGGAAGGGGAGCUUGCUCCCCGGACCUAGUGGCGGACGGGUGAGUAACGCGUGAGCAACCUGCCUUCAAGAGGGGGAUAACAUCCUGAAAAGGAUGCUAAUACCGCAUAACCUUCCCUUCCCNCAUGGGGAGGGAAGCAAAGGAGCAAUCCGCUUGAAGAUGGGCUCGCGUCCGAUUAGCUGGUUGGAGGGGUAACGGCCCACCAAGGCGAC